Non-coding RNA from Gossypium hirsutum (cotton), 107 nucleotides. The record is from Rfam. NCBI's taxonomy places the organism in Eukaryota, Viridiplantae, Streptophyta, Magnoliopsida, Malvales, Malvaceae.
AUACCAUGGUGAGGGCAUUUGUGUAAUAACUCUUUGAAUCCUUCCCAAGCAUCGUAUAGGGACUCAUCAUCCAUUUGCUGAAAAGUGGUGAUCUCAUUCCCCAACUU